Molecule: ribosomal RNA, 390 nt
Filed under: uncultured bacterium
Lineage: Bacteria
Description: bacterial SSU rRNA
Rfam family: Bacterial small subunit ribosomal RNA
Source: RNAcentral
AUUGAACGCUGGCGGCAUGCCUUACACAUGCAAGUCGAACGGCAGCACGGACUUCGGUCUGGUGGCGAGUGGCGAACGGGUGAGUAAUGUAUCGGAACGUACCUUUCAGUGGGGGAUAACGUAGCGAAAGUUACGCUAAUACCGCAUAUUCUGUGAGCAGGAAAGCAGGGGAUCGCAAGACCUUGCGCUGAUUGAGCGGCCGAUAUCAGAUUAGCUAGUUGGUGGGGUAAAGGCCUACCAAGGCUACGAUCUGUAGCGGGUCUGAGAGGAUGAUCCGCCACACUGGAACUGAGACACGGUCCAGACUCCUACGGGAGGCAGCAGUGGGGAAUUUUGGACAAUGGGCGCAAGCCUGAUCCAGCCAUGCCGCGUGAGUGAAGAAGGCCUCGG